UACAGAGGGUGCAAGCGUUGUUCGGAAUUAUUGGGCGUAAAGGGAGUGUAGGCUGCAAUGCAAGUCUUCUGUGAAAUCUACGGGCUCAGCCUGUAACGUGCAGAGGAUACUACAUAGCUUGAGUGUCGGAGAGGAUAGUGGAAUUCCCGGUGUAGAGGUGAAAUUCGUAGAGAUCGGGAGGAACACCAGUGGCGAAGGCGACUAUCUGGCUGACAACUGACGCUGAGACUCGAAAGCAUGGGGAGCAAACAGG
This 253-nucleotide ribosomal RNA is filed under the name uncultured bacterium. RNAcentral describes it as "partial 16S ribosomal RNA". It matches the Rfam family "Bacterial small subunit ribosomal RNA", at positions 524 to 776 of the family's 1533-position model. The record is from RNAcentral.